Carya illinoinensis is the source of this 1319-nucleotide long non-coding RNA. RefSeq lists it as uncharacterized. The transcript has 2 exons. The record is from RefSeq and is a predicted model, not a curated record. NCBI's taxonomy places the organism in Eukaryota, Viridiplantae, Streptophyta, Magnoliopsida, Fagales, Juglandaceae.
UUUUGAUUGAAACUGAAUCCCUCCUCUCUUGAUUGCUCCCUCGGACGUCCCAUUCGAUUCAUCCCUCCAAAUCCCAAGUCCCUCUCUGCUCUCUCGAACCCUAAGUCCCUCUCUGCUUCUCUCUCGUUUCCCUCCCUCCUCGCACUACCCUCCCUCUCGCUUCAUCCCUCAGAAGUUGUUAAACCAUCUUGUUUGGUUUGCUUCUCUCUUGAUUCCUCCCUCAAAACUCCCUCUCAAUUCAUCCCUUAGAACUCCAAACCCUAAAUCCCUCAUCUCUGCUUCUCUCUUGUUUCCCUCCUCGCCAAAAACUUUUUAUCCCUAUUUCUCUCUUCCCUCUAGAUUGGCCCGACAUUCCAUCUCUCCCCCCCCCCCCCCUUUUUUUUUCAUUUUUUUCAGUUCCCUUGCUGCUAGGGUUUUCCCAGGGUUGUUGAACAAUCUGUUGGUAUGGAUUCGAGUUUCCCUCCCUCUUUGCUUCUCUCUUGAUUCAUCCCUUAGAAGUGAAAACCCUAAAUUCAUUUCUCUGUUCGCUCUAGUUUGGCCCGAGAUUCCAUCUCUCCCCUAAAUCCCUAAUUUUUUCAUUAACUUUCAGUUCCCUUGCUACAUUUUCCCAAGGUUGUUGGAGUGCUCUCGUUGGGGUUAUCUUAGGAAUGUGGGGAAGGAACAAUCAAUUUCUCAGAGAAAAUCGAUACUGCUGUGGAUUUCUGCCCCAAUUUUUCACAUAAAGGAAAUGAGUUUUGCUUCUCAUUCCGGGUCAAGCUUGGAGAGACCACUUUGCUAUUGUGACUCCCAAGUGAAACUACGGAUUUCUGGAAAAGCAAAAUCUUUUGGUAGAAGAUUUUUCAAUUGUCCAAACUAUAAGAUGAAUAAACAAUGUGACUUUUUUGAGUGGAUUGAUCUUCAAAGUGAGCAAAAUAGUUGCUAUAAGAUGACGUUAGAAUUAGCUGAACGGAGGCACGAAAUGGUAUUUCAUGAGCGGCUGCGCAUGGAAGAAUCCAAAUAUAAGACAUUGGAGAAGAAGUACAAGGGAGCUUUGAAAGUAUUAACUGUCUCAUGGUUUUUUUUGUUUUUUUUUGUAGUAGUUUGUGGUGUAUUUUUGACGUAUCCAAGUGGUUAUAAUGUCUCUCGGCUAAUGCUACGACUCAUGUAACCCAACCCCUUUUGAUGUAUUUAUCCACUUUGAUCGGUUAAUGUACUAGAUGUGUCAUAUGUACUUUCUUCAUCCUGGGACUUUUGUAUGUAUUUGAAAUUUGCUGCCAAUUUCCUUGGACUUUAACCACUUUUGUAUGUAUAUAGACCACUGUGUCUAUAUUUACUAAUGA